This 482-nucleotide ribosomal RNA is filed under the name uncultured bacterium. Its description in RNAcentral is "partial 16S ribosomal RNA". It matches the Rfam family "Bacterial small subunit ribosomal RNA", at positions 30 to 507 of the family's 1533-position model. The record is from RNAcentral.
AUUGAACGCUGGCGGCAUGCCUUACACAUGCAAGUCGAACGGUAACGGGCCUUCGGGUGCCGACGAGUGGCGAACGGGUGAGUAAUACAUCGGAACGUGCCCGAUCGUGGGGGAUAACGAGGCGAAAGCUUUGCUAAUACCGCAUACGAUCUACGGAUGAAAGCCGGGGACCGCAAGGCCUUGCGCGGACGGAGCGGCCGAUGGCAGAUUGGGUAGUUGGUGGGAUACAGGCUUACCAAGCCGACGAUCUGUAGCUGGUCUGAGAGGAUGAUCAGCCACACUGGAACUGAGACACGGCCCAGACUCCUACGGGAGGCAGCAGUGGGGAAUGUUGGACAAUGGGCGCAAGCCUGAUCCAGCCAUGCCGCGUGCAGGAUGAAGGCCUUCGGGUUGUAAACUGCUUUUGUACGGAACGAAAAGCCUUCUUUUAAUACAGGAGGGUCAUGACGGUACCGUAAGAAUAAGCACCGGCUAACUACGUG